Molecule: ribosomal RNA, 729 nt
Filed under: uncultured bacterium
Lineage: Bacteria
Description: bacterial SSU rRNA
Rfam family: Bacterial small subunit ribosomal RNA
Source: RNAcentral
AACAGGAUUAGAUACCCUGGUAGUCCACGCCCUAAACGAUGUCAACUGGUUGUUGGGCCUCCACUGACUCAGUAACGAAGCUAACGCGUGAAGUUGACCGCCUGGGGAGUACGGCCGCAAGGUUGAAACUCAAAGGAAUUGACGGGGACCCGCACAAGCGGUGGAUGAUGUGGUUUAAUUCGAUGCAACGCGAAAAACCUUACCCACCUUUGACAUGUACGGAACUUGCCAGAGAUGGCUUGGUGCUCGAAAGAGAGCCGUAACACAGGUGCUGCAUGGCUGUCGUCAGCUCGUGUCGUGGGAUGUUGGGUUAAGUCCCGCAACGAGCGCAACCCUUGUCAUUAGUUGCUACAUUUAGUUGGGCACUCUAAUGAGACUGCCGGUGACAAACCGGAGGAAGGUGGGGAUGACGUCAAGUCCUCAUGGCCCUUAUAGGUGGGGCUACACACGUCAUACAAUGACUGGUACAAAGGGUUGCCAACCCGCGAGGGGGAGCUAAUCCCAUAAAGCCAGUCGUAGUCCGGAUCGCAGUCUGCAACUCGACUGCGUGAAGUCGGAAUCGCUAGUAAUCGUGGAUCAGAAUGUCACGGUGAAUACGUUCCCGGGUCUUGUACACACCGCCCGUCACACCAUGGGAGCGGGUUCUGCCAGAAGUAGUUAGCCUAACCGCAAGGAGGGCGAUUGCCACGGCAGGGUUCGUGACUGGGGUGAAGUCGUAACAAGGUAACC